This 912-nucleotide ribosomal RNA is filed under the name uncultured archaeon. RNAcentral's name for it is "bacterial SSU rRNA". It matches the Rfam family "Archaeal small subunit ribosomal RNA", at positions 1 to 922 of the family's 1478-position model. The record is from RNAcentral.
UUCCGGUUGAUCCUGCCGGAGGCGACCGCUUUUGGAGUUCGAUUAAGCCAUGCGAGUAGAAAGAAAUUAGAUUCUUUGCGAACUGCUCAGUAACACGUGGAUAACCUGCCCUAUGCUCCGGAAUAACCUCGGGAAACUGAGAAUAAUACCGGAUAGAUCACAACGCCUGGAACGGUGUGUGGUUGAAAGAUUACGGCAUAGGAUGGGUCUGCGGCGUAUCAGGUUGUAGGGGGUGUAAAGGACCUCCUAGCCAUCGACGCGUACGGGUGUUGGGAGACAUAGCCCGGAGAUGGAUUCUGAGACACGGAUCCAGACCCUACGGGGUGCAGCAGGCGCGAAAACUUCACACUGCAGGAAACUGUGAUGAGGGAACUCCAAGUGCACGCACUUAGUGUGUGCUUUUUUCAACUAUUAAUCGGUUGAAGAAUAAGGGCUGGGAAAGACCGGUGCCAGCCGCCGCGGUAAUACCGGCAGCUCAAGUGGUCGUCGCUUUUAUUGGGCCUAAAACGUCCGUAGCCUGUUUGGUAAAUCUGUGGGUAAAUCAACCAGCUUAACUGGUUGAAUUCUGCAGAGACUGCCAGACUAGGGACCGGGAGAGGUGUGGGGUACUCUAGGGGUAGGGGUAAAAUCCUGUCAUCCUUAGAGGACCACCAGUUGCGAAGGCGCCACACUGGAACGGAUCCGACGGUCAGGGACGAAGCCUAGGGGCACGAACCGGAUUAGAUACCCGGGUAGUCCUAGGUGUAAACGCUGUGAACUUGGUGUCGGGGAUCCGUCAUGGGUCCCCGGUGCCGGAGUGAAGAUGUUAAGUUCACUGCCUGGGGAGUACGGUCGCAAGGCUGAAACUUAAAGGAAUUGGCGGGGGAGCACUGCAACGGGAGGAGCGUGCGGUUUAAUUGGAUCAACGCCGGA